AAUCCCAACUGGAAGGCAGAGAGCCAGGGAGUCUGAGUUGGCCCAUGCAUCCCAGUCUCCUAGGCACGAGCCAGGAAGAAAGGGUUGGAAAGUGUAUCUGAGUGAUGGGCAAAGAAAAGAUAUCCAGCACUGUUGUUCUCAAGAGUUCAGUGAAUUCAUCCUCCUGUACUUGCCUGCAGGACAUCAGAACUCCCAGGAAUUGCUAUAUUAGCUGAGGCAUAUGAUGCCUGGAAGCCUGAAGAGACUCUUGGCGAGCCACUGUCUCCUGCAUGUGUGACCCAGGUCCCAUCACCCCCAGACUGAGGACAGCCUGCACUGUGAGUCUCGUCCAGUAGUGACGGCAGUGGAGAGGCUGCUGUAGGCACCCCACAGGAUUGCAUAAUGUUCUGGCUGAGCGCUGAAGAACUGAUGCUUUUGAACUGUGGUGUUGGAGAAGACUCUUGAGAGUCCCUUGGACUGCAAGGAGAUCCAACCAGUCCAUUCUAGAGGAGAUCAGC
This is a long non-coding RNA of Bos taurus (domestic cattle), 497 nucleotides long. The record is from Ensembl. NCBI's taxonomy places the organism in Eukaryota, Metazoa, Chordata, Mammalia, Artiodactyla, Bovidae.